RNAcentral lists this ribosomal RNA (1970 nucleotides) under human gut metagenome. Its description in RNAcentral is "bacterial LSU rRNA". It matches the Rfam family "Bacterial large subunit ribosomal RNA", at positions 873 to 2925 of the family's 2925-position model. The record is from RNAcentral.
GGGCUAGCGUUAGUUUAGAUUACCGGAGGUAAAGCACUGAAUGGUUUAGGGGCUGAUAAAGUUACCGACGCCUAUCAAACUCUGAAUGCCGGAUAAUUGAUGACUAGCAGUCAGACAGUGUGAGAUAAGUUUCAUUGUCAAAAGGGAAACAGCCCAGACCUACAGCUAAGGUCCCAAAUGUAUGCUAAGUGGAAAACGAUGUGGAAUUGCGAAAACAACCAGGAUGUUGGCUUAGAAGCAGCCACACAUUAAAAGAGUGCGUAAUAGCUCACUGGUCGAGUGACUCUGCGCGGAAAAUGUAACGGGGCUAAGCGUAUAACCGAAGCUUAGGAUGCAGCAAUGCGUGGUAGGGGAGCGUCGAAUACGGGGUGAAGUCGCAGCGGAAGCAGCGGUGGACUGUAUUCGAGUGAGAAUGCCGGAAUGAGUAGCGAGAAUUAUGUGGGAAUCAUAAUGGCCGAAAAUCUAAGGUUUCUUGGGGAAGGUUCGUCCGCCCAAGGUAAGUCGGGAGCUAAGCUCAGGCCGAGAGGCGUAGGCGAUGCACAUACGGUAGAAAUUCCGUAACCACCGAAACUUAAACAGAGGGACACUUCGAAAUAGCGGAACCCGGGCGUUGGUUGACCCGGGCGAAAGGGAGCGAAAUUAGAGUAGCGAAGUCCGCGAUGUUCGGAGGCGAGAAAAGCUCUGAGGUAUGCUAAGGUGCCCGUACCGCAAACCGACACAGGUAGAUGAGGAGAGAAUCCUAAGGCCAACGGGAGAAGGGUUGUUAAGGAACUCGGCAAAUUGACCCCGUAACUUCGGAAGAAGGGGAGCCCCCUACGGGGGGUCGCAGAGAAAUGGCCCAAGCAACUGUUUACCAAAAACACAGGUCUAUGCUAAAUCGAAAGAUGACGUAUAUGGGCUGACGCCUGCCCGGUGCCGGAAGGUUAAGAGGAGAUGUCAGGCAACGAAGCAUUGAAUUUAAGCCCCGGUAAACGGCGGCCGUAACUAUAACGGUCCUAAGGUAGCGAAAUUCCUUGUCAGGUAAGUUCUGACCCGCACGAAUGGCGUAAUGAUUUGGGCACUGUCUCAACAGCCCGCCCGGCGAAAUUGUAGUACUGGUGAAGAUGCCAGUUACCCGCAACUAGACGGAAAGACCCCAUGGAGCUUUACUGCAGCUUAAUACUGAAAUUCGGUAGUACAUGUACAGGAUAGGUGGGAGACUGAGAAAUACAGGCGUCAGCUUGUAUGGAGUCGCUGUUGGGAUACCACUCUUGUACUGCUGGGUUUCUAACCUGCGGCCGUGAAUCCGGUCGGGGGACACUGUUAGGCGGGCAGUUUGACUGGGGCGGUCGCCUCCCAAAGAGUAACGGAGGCGCUCAAAGGUUGGCUCAGCACGGACGGAAAUCGUGCAAUGAGUGUAAACGUAUAAGCCAGCCUAACUGCGACACCGACGGGUCGAGCAGUAACGAAAGUUGGAGUUAGUGAUCCGGUGGUAUGUGAGUGGAAAUGCCAUCGCUCAACGGAUAAAAGCUACCCUGGGGAUAACAGGCUGAUCUCCCCCAAGCGUCCACAGCGACGGGGAGGUUUGGCACCUCGAUGUCGGCUCGUCGCAUCCUGGGGCUGAAUUCGGUCCCAAGGGUUUGGCUGUUCGCCAAUUAAAGCGGCACGCGAGCUGGGUUCAGAACGUCGUGAGACAGUUCGGUCCCUAUCUGUUGCGGGCGUAAGAGAUUUGAAGGGAGCUGUCCUUAGUACGAGAGGACCGGGAUGGACGUACCUCUGGUGCACCAGUUGUCCUGCCAAGGGCAUAGCUGGGUAGCUAUGUACGGACGAGAUAAACGCUGAAAGCAUCUAAGCGUGAAACUCCCCCUAAGAUGAGAUCUCUCAUCCUUUAAGGAGUAAGGACCCAGAAAGACGAUCUGGUUGAUAGGCCGAAGGUGGAAGCGCAGUAAUGUGUGCAGCUGAUCGGUACUAAUAGUCCGAGGGCUUGACCU